CGCGGGGGCAACCCUGGCGACGAGAGGCGGACGGGUGAGCAAUGCUUGGGAAUCUGCCCAUCAGCGGGGGACAACCCGGGGAAACUCGGGCUAAUACCGCAUACGCUCUACGGAGGAAAGCCGGGGACCGCAAGGCCUGGCACUGACGGAUGAGCCCAAGCCGGAUUAGCUAGUUGGCGGGGUAACGGCCCACCAAGGCGACGAUCCGUAGCUGGUCUGAGAGGACGAUCAGCCACACCGGAACUGAGACACGGUCCGGACUCCUACGGGAGGCAGCAGUGGGGAAUAUUGGACAAUGGGGGAAACCCUGAUCCAGCGACGCCGCGUGGGUGAAGAAGGCCUGCGGG
RNAcentral lists this ribosomal RNA (347 nucleotides) under uncultured bacterium. RNAcentral describes it as "bacterial SSU rRNA". It matches the Rfam family "Bacterial small subunit ribosomal RNA", at positions 72 to 422 of the family's 1533-position model. The record is from RNAcentral.